RNAcentral lists this ribosomal RNA (492 nucleotides) under uncultured bacterium. Its description in RNAcentral is "partial 16S ribosomal RNA". It matches the Rfam family "Bacterial small subunit ribosomal RNA", at positions 29 to 507 of the family's 1533-position model. The record is from RNAcentral.
AGUGAGCGCUGGCGGUAGGCCUAACACAUGCAAGUCGAACGGCAGCACAGUAAGAGCUUGCUCUUACGGGUGGCGAGUGGCGGACGGGUGAGGAAUACAUCGGAAUCUACUUUUUCGUGGGGGAUAACGUAGGGAAACUUACGCUAAUACCGCAUACGACCUACGGGUGAAAGCAGGGGAUCUUCGGACCUUGCGCGAUUGAAUGAGCCGAUGUCGGAUUAGCUAGUUGGCGGGGUAAAGGCCCACCAAGCCGACGAUCCGUAGCUGGUCUGAGAGGAUGAUCAGCCACACUGGAACUGAGACACGGUCCAGACUCCUACGGGAGGCAGCAGCGGGGAAUAUUGGACAAUGGGCGCAAGCCUGAUCCAGCCAUACCGCGUGGGUGAAGAAGACCUUCGGGUUGUAAAGCUCUUUUGUUGGGAGAGAAAAGCAGCAGGUUAAGACCGCGCUGUUCUGACGGUACCCAAAGAAUAAGCACCGGCUAACUUCGUG